Molecule: ribosomal RNA, 497 nt
Filed under: uncultured bacterium
Lineage: Bacteria
Description: partial 16S ribosomal RNA
Rfam family: Bacterial small subunit ribosomal RNA
Source: RNAcentral
GAUGAACGCUGGCGGCGUGCCUAAUACAUGCAAGUCGAGCGAACGGACGAGAAGCUUGCUUCUCUGAUGUUAGCGGCGGACGGGUGAGUAACACGUGGAUAACCUACCUAUAAGACUGGGAUAACUUCGGGAAACCGGAGCUAAUACCGGAUAAUAUUUUGAACCGCAUGGUUCAAAAGUGAAAGACGGUCUUGCUGUCACUUAUAGAUGGAUCCGCGCUGCAUUAGCUAGUUGGUAAGGUAACGGCUUACCAAGGCAACGAUGCAUAGCCGACCUGAGAGGGUGAUCGGCCACACUGGAACUGAGACACGGUCCAGACUCCUACGGGAGGCAGCAGUAGGGAAUCUUCGGCAAAGGGCGAAAGCCUGACGGAGCAACGCCGCGUGAGUGAUGAAGGUCUUCGGAUCGUAAAACUCUGUUAUUAGGGAAGAACAUAUGUGUAAGUAACUGUGCACAUCUUGACGGUACCUAAUCAGAAAGCCACGGCUAACUACGUG